UUUUCAAUUUUAUACCAUUUGAAAUGGUUUUUAAUAUUCAACCAAAAGGGAAUUUAUUUUGCAUUUGACAUUCGAUUUCUAAAAUUAGUACUACUUGUUCAAAGAACCGUCAAAUUUAGAAAAAAAGCGUAUAGCGAAAUCGUGUAUAUCGAGUAUGGCGUAUAUCGGGGAAUACCUGUAUAGCCACACGAGGAAGGCGCUGCUUCGCGUUCACAUGAAAAUGUGGUAGUGUGAAAUCAAGUUUGCAAGCGGUAGGACGCGUCGGUGUGUGUCCGUUUUUUCUCUCGUGAAACCAGUACGGAAAAACUAUUUGAAAUCGUAACACACGCACGAACGGAAGUGAGCACGGACCACAACAGAAGCAAUAUUCAAUUGGUUGGAGUGCCGAAAACAGAACAGGAGAGGAAAGAAGGCAGGAACGAUCCGAUCCUCCAACGUGCUAGCGCCUGGUAGAGGAGAAGCGGCAGGAAGGUAGAGACGAACAUCCAGCGCGCUAGCGCAGCAUGUGGGAGCAGCGAGAGGGAGGCAAGCAGGAAGAAUUUUUAACGUGUGGACACAAUUCGACGAAGACAACGCUGGAUUAUAGGAAGAACGAGGAGAGAAGGCAGGCAAGACGGGUACGUGUGUAUCCCGCACCGGUUUUCGGCAGUGUGAAUUGUGUGAGUAUUGAAAAGUGUAUGUGUGAGUAGAGGUAAAGAGGUGAAAUAAAGAGCGAAUGUGUGGAAUGGAAAAAUUAGAGAGAGUCUGUGUUUGUUUUGGGAGAGAGGAGAGAAUGAAAGAAAUUGAACAAUAAUGUAGCAUACAGAAACUACAUGUAUGAUACACGCUGUCGCACCGUUGCAGAAAC
Long non-coding RNA from Anopheles gambiae (African malaria mosquito), 847 nucleotides. RefSeq lists it as uncharacterized. The transcript is spliced from 3 exons. Lineage: Eukaryota; Metazoa; Arthropoda; Insecta; Diptera; Culicidae. The record is from RefSeq and is a predicted model, not a curated record.